GCGCCUUCAUUUUUUGGCGGCCGGGGACGGUAGAUGACUGCGGUGUUCCAGCCGUUUUCAUCAUGGGUGCGCGGGAAUGAUGCCGGAUUUUUUGGGGUUUAAUUCUGCGAGUGACCCGAUGAUGCCGGGGUUUUUUAAUCUUCCGAUGCAUCCACCGAUGCAACCACCGGCGUUUGACACUAACUUGAUGAUCGGGCAGCAGCCGAGGCUUGCUGUGACUUCUCACCAGCAGAUGAAUAUUACUGUGUUUGCUAGUAGUACUGCUGCUGCUGCAGGUUCUAAUGUGAGCUCAGCUGGUGCUGGCAAUAAUGGUGAAGGGUAUUGGAAGCAGUUCAACAAUGAAGGAGAAGAUGACAGCUCUCAGCCUCCGACGCCAUAAUUUAUCUAUUUAGAUAAGAGGCAAAAGUUUCAGGAAAAAAGGAGUGAGCAAGCAACAGCAGGAGAUCGAAGAGAAGAACAAGAAGAGAAUUUUUCAUCGUUAGCUUUUUCUUCUCUUUUAUUUUCCUUUCCUUUUCUUUUUUAAUUAAUUAGUUUCUUUCUUCUUCUUCUUCUUCUUAUUCCUUUUUUUUUCGCCCUUGUGGUUCGACUACCUAGCUAGUGUGGUUAGUUGUUCUGUAGAGUGAGAGAGAGAGAGAAGAGAAAUGUCUUUUGUUUAAACGCAUGUGCCAUCUGAGCACAAGAGAUGAAAGCCUUUUCUCAUUCUA
Long non-coding RNA from Asparagus officinalis (garden asparagus), 704 nucleotides. RefSeq lists it as uncharacterized. The record is from RefSeq and is a predicted model, not a curated record. NCBI's taxonomy places the organism in Eukaryota, Viridiplantae, Streptophyta, Magnoliopsida, Asparagales, Asparagaceae. The transcript has 2 exons.